This is an RNA transcript of Girardinichthys multiradiatus, 3044 nucleotides long. It is a transcript of the gene named spermatid perinuclear RNA-binding protein-like, with no coding region annotated. The record is from RefSeq and is a predicted model, not a curated record. Lineage: Eukaryota; Metazoa; Chordata; Actinopteri; Cyprinodontiformes; Goodeidae. The transcript is spliced from 19 exons.
GCCCGGGUCUCAGAGAGCAGGUUGGCCGGACACCGUCGCUGCUACUCCCGCUCACCCUCCGCUUUGGGAGCCGUUCCUCGGAUACAAACUUAGUUACUGUCACUGGACACCGAACAGCCAACAGAAACAAACUGUUUGUAGAGGUGUUCCGACCGGCUGAGCCUCCCCCCUCUCAUCGGUUCACCUCGCGGUGGUCAGCGGACACUCGGUGGAGUGGGGCUUGAGAGGCUGACGGCUCGGAGACAUUUGACUGCAUGAGGAGUCCGAGCGACGGGACCCUGGUCCUCACGUAGACCCUCGCCAUACUGCCCGGACAUGAGGUCAUGCCGAUCGUUUGCAAACGACAACCACCAUGUCAUGGCCAAACACUCCAGCGUCUAUCCAGACCCAGAGGAGCUGGAGGCCAUCCAGACGCUGGUGUCCACCGUGGAGGGAGCCCUGAAGAAGGUCUCUGAUUGGAUGGAUGGCCUGAAGACCUCCUCAGGGAAGACUCCCAGCUGUAAUAACACAGAGGAGAAAGAUGCUCCUGAGACGGAGUCUGACAGCACAUCGGUGCUGUGCGGGGUGACGCGGGUCGGCCUGGUGGCCAAAGGUCUGCUGAUCAAAGGCGACAUGAACCUGGAGCUGGUGCUGAUGUGCAGAGAGAAGCCCACCACACUGCUACUGUACACCAUCAGCGCCAACCUUCCCCUGCAGAUUCAGACGAUGACAGACGACACAUAUGAAGUUCGGUCGUGCAUCUCUGAGGCAGCAAUCCAAGUCUGCAGCACCAAAGAGCCCCGACUGGCCCUGAAGAUCACCCUCUCCUCGUUAGCCAUGAUGGAGGAACACAGCACCACAGAAGAAGAAGAAGAGGACGACAAUCAGGAGGAAGACGAGCAGAGGCGUGAGGAUAGGGAGGAGGAGGAUGUCCUGGACAGGGUGAAGUGCCAGGCGGCGCUGGCGGCGCUCAGACACGCCAAGUGGUUCCAGGUCCGGGUCACCGACCUUAAGUCCUGCGUCAUCGUUCUGAGGGUUCUCAGAGACCUGUGCAACCAUCAGCCGGUGUGGGAGCCUCUCAAAGGAUGGCCGCUGGAGCUGAUCUGUGAAAAGGCCAUUGCCACCUGUAACCGGCCUCUGGGUCCAGGCGAAGCUCUACGUCGUGUCAUGGAGUGCAUCGCUUCGGGAAUCCUUCUACCAGGAGGUCCAGGACUCCAUGAUCCCUGUGAGAGGGAACCCAGAGACGUUCUGAUGCACCUCAGCGCCCAGCAGGCCGACGGCCUCACCCACAGCGCACAGCAUGCACUGCGCCUCAUAGCGUUCGGACAGCUUUACAAGGUCCUGAAUAUGGAUCCUCUGCCUGCCAACAAGGCCUCUACGAGGCUGUUAGAAGGAGGUUGUCAGAAGAGGCCCCGGGAGGACUCAGGCUGUGAAGACAGAGACUUCAUCAAACGGAUGAAAGUCCUGGACUGGAGGAUGACUGACCCAAACCAUCCCAUGAAUGCUCUGAUGCGUCUGAACCAGAUCCAUCCAGGCCUUCAGUACCGUCUGCUCUGUCAGUCGGGCCCAGUCCACGCUCCAGUCUUCACCAUGUCCGUGGAGAUCCAGGGAACCACCUACCAGGCCACCGGGAACUCCAAGAGGACCGCCAAGCUCCAAGUGGCCCUCAAGGCGCUGCAGGCUCUGGGCUUCGUGCUCAGAUCAGAUGGAGACUUGGACUCUCUGAGCGCCGAUGAGAAGUCAGAUGGAGAAGGGAAGAACGACAGGGUGUCCACCAACUCCAGCUCCACAUCCAUCACCUCCUCCACGGAGGCACAGGAGUCCAGAGCUCCGGGUCCGAUCCUGACAGCAGGAGGGAAAAACCCGGUGAUGGAACUGAACGAGAAGCGGCGCGGACUGAAAUACGACCUGAUUUCAGAGAGCGGAAGCAGCUACGACAAACGUUUCAUCAUAGAGGUGGUGGUGGACAAACAGGUUUUCCGGGGAACUGGUCCCAAUAAGAAAGUAGCCAAAGCCAGCGCAGCGCUUGCUGCUCUCAACAGCUUGUUCUCCGGGUCCAAAUCAACAAACAACAAGAAGAAGCGACCCAACCCUCCUCCAAAGCGACCCUUAACCUCCAUGCUGACCAUCCCGACCCUCGCUGCCAGACCUCCUCGGGUCCCCGUGAUCCCCAGAGCCCCCUACAUCAGCACCCCACCCACACACGGGUACAUCCCUCCAGGUUUUGGUGCUCCUUAUGGCUACAGUCCAGCAGGCCCCCUCGCUGCUUACAGUCUUCCCUCCAGAUUGCCCUCAGUAGUUGUCCCCUUCAUCCGAGUCCUCCCAGUUUACCCCGUCACCCACCUGUACCCCUAUUAAGACCACACCCUUCCACCUGUUAAAGGAAUAUCCUCACUUAAAGCUAAAUCACUGCUGGUUGAGCCGUGUGCAGCAGCUGUUAGGCAGCUCUGAUUUCUGCUGAAAUGAACGUCUUCUCCCUGAACUACGCAGAGCAGUGGCCUGUACAUCGACAGUGCCUACUACCAGCCGCAGACCAUAGCCACGCCCAUAAUCAUCCACCUGGGGCCUCAGGAUCUGUUCUGACCUCCAUCUACACACAGGAACCAGAAUCCAGACCUGAACCCUCAUUUAGAGUCCAGUCUGAUCGCACUGUCAGUUUCCUCUCCUCCUCUUCCUCCUCACAGCAGCCAGCAGCAACACUGAAAGCAAUAUGGAAGACGACGACGUCUCGGGCAGCACAAGUCCAGUUCUGGUUCCUGAGUGAGGCCGGCUCCGAGGAUACGUCACAAACCAAUACUCUGGCUGCCUUCAGGGGCCCCAAACAUCCCAUAAAAUGUUUAAAAUACAACAUUUACUGUUUCUGUACAAGUUCAGAGGUGUUAAUAGAUUUAAAUAUAAACUGCAGCUGAAGAAACACAUUUAUAUCAUAUUUAUGAAUGUAAAUACAGUAAUGACUGUAACUGCUUUGUAUUCAAACCACAUAUCUACAGACUGCCUAUUAAACUGUAUUACGAUGGUAUUUAAUCCUGUAUUAAACAUUCCUGUAUAUCAGAGCCUAAGCAGCA